AGGUCUGUAGCUCAAAAAUGGUAGAGCGCUCAAAGUCCUUAUUGGGCUUUUGAGAGGUUGGUGGUUCAAAUCCACCCAGAUCUG
RNAcentral lists this transfer RNA (84 nucleotides) under Prunus persica (peach). It matches the Rfam family "tRNA". From Rfam's summary of the family: Transfer RNA (tRNA) molecules are approximately 80 nucleotides in length. Their secondary structure includes four short double-helical elements and three loops (D, anti-codon, and T loops). Lineage: Eukaryota; Viridiplantae; Streptophyta; Magnoliopsida; Rosales; Rosaceae. The record is from Rfam by way of RNAcentral.